RNA transcript from Olea europaea var. sylvestris, 8267 nucleotides. RefSeq lists it as uncharacterized. The record is from RefSeq and is a predicted model, not a curated record. The transcript is spliced from 9 exons. Lineage: Eukaryota; Viridiplantae; Streptophyta; Magnoliopsida; Lamiales; Oleaceae.
UAGCUCUCUGUAUAUAUGCAAACAGAAAACCUGACUCUAUCUCUAUAUACGUAUCUUCGUCUCUUUAUCUAACGCAGAAGUACUUUCUCUCUCUACGCGGCGCCCGAAGAGUACACCGCUGUCCUCUAUCUACUCCAUUAAAGUAAGAUCUCCUGGGGCGAGUGCUGAUUAUUUUUUUAUUGUGGAGGAGAGAGGGAAAAAAUUUGGCUUAGGGUUUUGAUGCGCUGGUGUGGGUUGAGAUUCGUAAGGUCAGUUCAGGUUACGGGUCCGGUUUGGGGAUGGCCAACUCUGGUGCCAAGUUUGUGUCUGCGAAUCUGAACAAGUCUUAUGGGCAGCAGCACCAGCCUUCUCAUUAUACUCAUCAUUCAGCUUUUAGUGGCAGCAGUAGUUCUUAUGGGCAGGGUGGCACUGGGGCUCGGGGGCGCCCUGGGAGUGGUGGUACGGGAAUGGUAUUGUUGUCAAGGAAUAGGGGCACACAGAAGGCUGGUCCAAAACUCUCUGUUCCACCCCCCUUGAAUUUACCCUCCUUGAGAAAAGAACACGAAAGAUUUGACUUGUCAGGGCCAGGCGGAGGGCUGGGUGGUGGCAUCGGUCCUGGAAAUGGGCCAAGGCCCACUUCGUCAGGUUUGGGCUGGACCAAGCCAGUCGCAGCUACUGCUUCAUCAGAGAAGAAUGAGAGCAGUGCUGAUGUUCAUGGAGCUGAUGGAAUGAAUGCUACUGAUGGAUUAAGUCGUGGCAGUGGUUCUUAUUUGCCAAUAUCAGCUCAAUCUGAUGAGUUUCGAGUUGUGCGUUCCGGUUAUCCUGGGGCAUUCCCGCCUUCAGCAGAGAAAAUCACAGUCUUGAGAGGUGAGGAUUUCCCUUCUUUGCAGGCUGCAAGGCCUGUUUCAUCAGGCACAUCACAGAAACAGAAGGAUGCUUUGAACCAAAGACAGAAGCAGGCAGUGAGUGAGGAAACAUCUGAGGACAAGAGGGACAGUUACCAUUCAAGUCUGCUAGCUGAUAUUCGGCAACAGGGGCAGUCUUCACGCAGUACUGUUGUAAAUAGUUCGUUGGAGAAUGGUGGAGAAGGUCAUAGGAUGGGCAGUUUGCGAAUGGCAGAUCACGCUCGGAAGCAGGAUGAUUACUUUCCUGGUCCACUGCCACUGGUUCAGUUUAAUCCAAGAUCUGAUUGGGCUGAUGAUGAGCGUGACACUGGCCAUGAGUUUGCAGAACGGGGAAGAGAAGUUGGGGGUUCAAAAGUUGAACAUUAUUGGGAUAGGGAUUUUGACUUGCCCAGGCCCAGUGUUUUAAUGCAGAAGCCAGUUCGUAAUCAAAAUCAUUGGAGUCAACGAGACAAUAAAGCUGGAAAUGUACUUUCCAGUGAAGUCUUUAAACCGGACCUGUAUAACAGAGAUUUGAGAACAACUAGUAGGGAAGGCAGGGAAGUCAACAAGUGGAGAACCUCACCACUUCCUAAAAAUGGAUUAAAUUCUCAAGAGGUUGGAAAUGACCGAUAUGUUGGUGGUGCAAGGACUGAUGGACUUAACAAUGAUGUGAAGGACAAUAAGUGCAUUACACCACAUUUUGGUGACACUGGUAGAGAUGGUAGUGUGAUGGUUAAUCGUGAUUCUUCAUUUGGAAGGAAGGAUGUGGUACAUGUUCCAGAAGUGAGGCAGCAAUCUAACAAUUCAAUGGAAUUAAUUAAUAAUCGAGGGGCUGAGCGUAAUAAUCGAGAUCGUUAUGGUGCCGAACAAUCCAACAGAUAUAGGGGUGAUAAUUUUCGGAAUAAUGCAUUAGCUAAAUCUCCGUUUGCUUCUAGUGGGAAAGUUCCUCCUGUGAUUGAUGUCAAACUAACUUUGGGCAGGGAGAAACAUGCUUUUUCCAAAGGAGAUAGACUGUUUACAGAGGAUCCCUUCUCCAACGACUUCGGUACUACAGGUUUCGAUGAAAGGGAGCUCUUUUCCAGGGAUCUUGUUGGUGCAAUUAAGAGGAAGAAGGAUGUUGCUAAGCCGACUGAUUUUCACGAUCCUGUUAGGGAAUCUUUUGAGGCAGAACUUGAAAGAGUUCAGAAGAUGCAAGAACUUGAGAGGCAGAGGAUUAUUGAAGAACAAGAAAGAGCUUUGGAACAAGCUCGAAGAGAAGAAGAGGAGAGACUGAGAAGAAUCAGGGAAGAGGAAGAAAGGCAGCGAAGGUUAGAGAAGGAAGCUCGUGAAGCUGCUUGGAGAGAAGAACAGGAGAGACUGGAGGCUAUACGAAAAGCCGAAGAGCAAAGACUUGCCAGGGAAGAGGAGAAGAAGAGAACUCUUAUGGAGGAAGAGAGGAGGAAGCAAGCUGCCAAAGAAAAGCUUUUGGAGUUGGAGGCUAGAAUGGCCAAGAGACAGAGUGAAACUUCAAAUGUUGACACUUCUACGUCUAAUGUGAUUGUGGAUGAUAAAGUGGAUGCUGGGGUGAAGGAAAAAGAUAGCUCUAGGACUGUUGAUUUGGACAACUGGGAAGACAGUGAUAGAAUGGGGGAUAAGACGAUGACAACAGAAUUGUUUGAUUCAUCUGCUUACGACAGACCUGAUAUCAGUUCUACGCCUUACCCUCCUGAAGAAGUUGCUUCAAGCUUUUCUGACAGAGGAAAAAGUGUCAAUUCAUGGAAAAUGGAUAUGUUUGAAAAUGUGAGUACCUUGCCCUUCCCAGCACAGGACCAGGAGAUUGGUCGUAACAGUCCAAGAAGAGAUACAUUUGGUGGUGGCAGGACAGUACCUAGGAAAGAUUUCCAUGGUGGAUCUGGAUACAUGAAUUCUAGGGCUCAUUCCAAAGCAGGCAGUCAAGACCCUUUCUUUGAUGACUUUGGACAUCAGAAGGACCAUAGGUGGAACUUGCCAGGGGAUGUUGACUUGUACAGCAAAAACAGGGAAAUCAAUUCCAAUUUUCAUGACAAUCUUGCAGAUAAAUAUGGUGAUAAUGGAUUGGGACAGGGCCAUUCUCGUAGUAGUACUCGCUCACCUUACCCAGAGCAACUGUAUAUGAAUUCUGAGGCAGAUGAGCUUUAUCCAUAUGGGAGGUCACGUCAUUCCAUGAAGCAGCCUCGCGUCCUCCCCCCUCCACUUGCUUCCUCUCAAAGAACUUUUAGGGGUGUGAAUGAGCAUCCUGGUCCAUCUGCUGUCCUAGAUAAUGGCAUCCAUUAUGCUUACAGAGCAAGAAGUGAAUCCACUAGGCAGACAGGUUAUUAUGGGGGUAACCAGGAAGCCCUUGAAGCAUCCAGCCUUGUCGAACUGCGGCAAGAAAACACCCCUAAUGAAGACCAGAAAUUGAAGGACAUUUCAUCAAGAUGUGACUCACAAUCUUCACUAUCUGUUUCAAGUCCCCCCAACUCUCCGCCUCAUCUCUCCAAUGAUGAAUUGGAUGAAUCUGGAGAUUCUCCUGUGAUAUCCAUAGGAGCAGAAGGAAAAAAGAAUCAGCUAUCUGCAAUUGAUUCUGUUAUCUUGAAUGAUCGUUCUGGAAAUGAUACCAUGCUAAUAGCACCAAGUUCUACUUCUGCUGGUGAGGAUGAGGAGUGGAGUCCUGAAAAUGAUGAUGAAUUGCAGCAGCAAGAGGAAUAUGAUGAGGAUGAAGAUGGUUAUCAGGAUGAGGAUGAAGUGCGUGGAGGAUAUGACAGGAAUCUUGAUCUGGAUCCAAAAAUUGAAGAUUUGCAUCUCGAGGAAAGGGAUUCUUCUCAUAUUUUGGACAAUGUUGUCUUAGGCUUUGAUGAUGGCGUUGAAGUUGUAAUACCAAGUGACGAUUUUGCAAGAAAUUCAGGGACCAAAGAAAGAACAUUUGGAAUUUCUGGCAAUCAUGUUCAUAUUGUGGAGGAACAAGGAGCUAUCGAUAGGGUUCCAGAUGAUGAACAAAGCUUUCUUCCUGCAGAUGAUUCCUUUGGGACAAGCAAAGAUAGCUUCUCUCGGAAGGUCCAGGAAACUGAUAAGGUGUUGCCAGCGGCUACCGUUCAACCUAUCAAUGCUCCUUAUGCCUUGGACACAUCAGAUUUUUUGUAUGUCGAUGCCUCAGUUAACUCCGGUUUACCUGCUCAACAACCCAUCUCAGCUUCAGGUGAUGUUACAUCUGCUGCUGGUGAGAUCAAUUUGUCAUCUGUGGCGUCUGCUGGGACUCAGGCUGAAGUACCUGUUAAGCUUCAAUUUGGGCUGUUCUCUGGUCCAUCUCUUAUACCAUCUCCAAUCCCUGCUAUUCAGAUUGGUUCAAUACAAAUGCCCCUCCACAUUCAUCCUCCUGUUGGUCCAUCUCUUACACAUUUGCAUCCUUCACAACCUCCUAUCUUCCAAUUCGGUCAGCUGCGUUAUGCAUCUCCUAUCUCCCAGGGAAUUUUGCCCAUGCCCCACCAAUCAAUGUCCUUUGUCCAGCCCAACAUGCAGGCCCAUUAUAAUCUGAAACAGAAUGUUGGAGGCUCUGUGCCUAACCAACCUGCUGAAGAUGCUCCACGACAUGCAGUAAAAGUUGAGGUGACCUCUCUCGGGGUAAAUAAGCAGUCUAGUUUGGUGUCUGGACAGCCAGAGCAAUCUCGUGGGAACCUUCCCGGGGAAUUAGGUUCGGUUUUGGCAGAAGACAGUUCAGAAGGUGACUUUCUUUCUCAUUCAAUUAGUUCUGUGGUUUCUGGUGCCUGUGAUGAUAAGAUCAAGUUAGAAUCUGUUUCUCCAUCAGUAGAGAAAGGACGACGUGAUUCUGUUUCGAACAAUUACUUGUCAUCAUCAAAGGAGAAUGGGUCUGUAAGUCAGUUGCAGCAUGUAAAACCAUCAUCGAAGUAUGUUUCUGGUGAGAAAAUUUUUAGUAGAACAAGACAUCAAGGCAUAGGAGGUAGCAGAGGGAGACGGUAUGCCUAUGCAGUAAAAAAUUCCAAUGCCAGAUCUUCUUUUCUGGCUCCUGAUACUAAUACAGAUUCAAGUGGGUUUCAGAGGAAACCUCGACGAACUGUUCAGCAAACUGAAAUUCGAGCGCGAGAGAAUGAAUUGAACCAAGAACCUGUAGCUACUGUUAAUAACAGAGGCUCAGUUGAUCAGUCAAAUUACAAAUCAAGAGCUGUGGGAAUUAUUGCGAGAGGUGGUUCUAAGAGAGGUACAAUCUCUAAUAGACCAUCGAAUCAGAGAGUUGAACCAGAGAGCUCAGUGUCUGGAAAUACUAGUUCUCAGGAGUUGAAUUCCAGUUACAGAAUAGGAAAGGAAAGUGUAAAAGAUAUGUCAAUGAAGAAGCAGAGUAAUCCUCCCCCUGGGAAGUCAAAUUUCAAGAGAAAUGCUUCUGAGGAGGACGUUGAUGCUCCCUUGCAAAGUGGUGUUGUUCGUGUUUAUACACAACCUGGCAUAGAAGCUCCCAGUGAUGAAGAUGACUUUAUUGAGGUGAGAUCCAAAAGGCAAAUGUUGAUCGAUCGACGUGAGCAGAGGGAAAGAGAAAUCAAAGCAAAAUCAAGGGUCACAAAGCUACUGCCUAAAUCUCGUGCUCCUAGACAAAGUGUAGUGGUCUCAACAAGUCCUAAUAAGCUUUCUACACCACUGGCUAGACAAUCAUCAACCAACUCUCCCUUGGAUUUUGUUGCUUCAGAGGGAAAAAGCUUGAGUGACAACGAAGUAGCUGCAGGAACCACUGAAGUUUCCCAACCACUGGCUCCAAUUGGCACUCCUGCUCUGAAUGCCGAAACUCUGUCUGAGACACCAUCUCAUGCUAUCACAUCUGUCCAGACAGAAUUGGUUUCUGUUGUUUCUAAUAAAAGUGGAAAUGACCUGGAGACUGCGAAAAUGUUUGAGAACAAAAAUAAGGUUUUGGAUAAUUUCCAGUUGGCUGCGAGUACUUGGAGCACUGCAGGACUUAAUCGACAGGUUAUGGCCUUGACCCAGACUCAACUUGAGGAGGCUAUGAAGCCUGCUCGAUAUGAUUCAGAGAUUUCUGUUGAAUGCCAUUCCAGCACUGUUAGUGAUUCUGUCUUGCCUUCAUCAUCCGUGUUAACAAAGGAUAAGUCUCUUUCUUCCGGUGCAAGUCCAAUCAAUUCCCUGCUUGCUGGAGAGAAAAUUCAAUUCGGUGCUGUUACCUCUCCAACAGUCCUUCCUCCAAGUGGUCGUGUUGUUUCACAUGGGAUUGGGGCUCCGGGGUCCAAUCGACCUGACAUACAAAUGUCCCGCAAUCUUUCUGCUGCUGAGAAAGAUAAUUCUCUUUUCUAUGAAAAGGAGAAACACCCCAGUGACUCUUGUGUUACUCUACAAGAUAGUGAGGCAGAAGCUGAAGCAGCUGCUUCUGCAAUCGCUGUUGCAGCCAUCAGUAGUGAUGAGAUUGUUGCCCAUGGGUUAGGUUCUGUUGGUUUCUCAGAUGCCAAAAACUUCAGAGGCUCUGACAUUGGUGGAAUUAUAGCAGCCGUAUCAGAAGAUCAGCAAUUGGUAAAUCAUUCACGAUGUGAAGAAUCAUUAAGCGUAUCUCUUCCUGCUGAUCUUUCUGUUGAGACAACUCCUAUCUCCUUAUGGCCACCGAUGUCAAGUUCACCGAGUUCUACGCCUCAGAUGCUUUCUCGAUUUCCUGCAGGUCCACCUUCGCACUUCCCCUUCUAUGAAAUGAAUCCGAUGUUGGGGGGUCCAAUCUUUGCAUUUGGUCCAUGCGAAAAUUCUUCUGGCACACAAUCACAACCUCAGAAUAGUACAGCAUCAAGUUCGGGACCUCCUGGUACCUGGCAACAAUGUCAUUCUAGCCUGGACUCAAUUUAUGGUCCGCCAGCUGGAUAUACUGGUCCUUUCAUUAGUCCUCCUGGUGGUAUUCCUGGAUUGCAGGGGCCUCCACAUAUGGUUGUCUAUAACCAUUUUGCUCCAGUGGGACAAUACGGACAGGUUGGUUUGAGUUUUAUGGGUACCACUUAUAUCCCUUCCAGUAAGCAAUCUGAUUGGAAACAAAAUCCAACAUCUUCAGCCAUGCAUGUUGGUGAGGGAGAGAUGAGUGGUAUGAAUACUACGUCCACACAACGAAAUGCUUCCAACAUGGCUGCUCCUGUUCAGCAUCUUGCCCCUGGAUCACCUCUCUUGCCCAUUGCCUCCCCUUUGCCUAUGUUUGAUGCAUCUCCAUUCCAGUCUGCGCCGGACCUAUCUUUCCAAGUUCGCUGGCCACAUCUUCCUGCAUCACCCCUUCACUCUCUUCCUCUCUCACUACCAUUGCAGCAACAAGCAGACGUUGUACUGCCUUCUCAAGUCGGCCGGGGACAUUCCAUUGACCAACCAUUAAAUUUCAAUAGGUUCUCUGAGUCUCGAAUUUCAACACCAUUGGAGAAUGACCCAUCUUUUUCUGUGGCAGCAGAUACUGCUAUUGCUAAGUUUCCUGCUGAGCUAGGAUUAGUUGGUACAUUGAGAUCCAUCAAUUCAGGCACAUCUGCCCAGAUUGGCAUUGAUCAAAGUUCUUCUGGAAGUUCUACUGCCGAGUCUGGCAAGACUAAUAUUCUUAAGAAUGGCAUUGACAAAAAUGGUAAGCACCAGAGCACUAAUUAUCUGAAGGCUCAGCCGUUUCCUCAGAAGAAUUCAUCCACCCGGCAGAGUAAUUCUUCUGGCUAUAUUUAUCAAAGAGGUGGUGGGAUGUCCCAAAGAAACAAUGCAGGGAAUGAGUGUUCCUAUCGAAGAAUGGGUUUCCAGGGAAGGAACCAGUCUUCUGGUGCAGAGAAGUUUGGUCUCGGUUCAAAAAUGAAACAAAUAUAUGUGGCUAAGCAAACGAAAAGUGGGAGUUCUAACGCAGCAGUAUGAGCAAACAUUAGGGUUUAUGGUGAAUAAUGGAGAGAUUAAACUGAUAACAUCUAGCUUUCAGAUCUUCAAUUGCACGGCUUCACAAGAUGUUAGUUUUGUAAUUUUCAUUGUGUUAAACGGCUUUCGGUGGAUUGCAGAACCUGCUGGUGAUAGUUAUUUCUAAAUCUGGCAGUCUCCAAGUCUCCCUCUGGGUAUUUGCACGAUUAUUGCUCAAGAUAUGCUGUUGUUAUACGCCUUUUGACAUUGCAUCACUAUCGCGAAAUGGCUUUCAGUGUGUGGCUAAGUGGAGUGGGUGGGUUUGUUUAUGAUGAUAUGACUUGGUAUAUGGAUGCACAAUGAACUUUAUUCUGCAGCUAUCUGGAAGAACAAGGCUUCAUACUGGUGUAGGUUGGGUGCCGGAAAGGGUUGUACAUUGCCUGUUCUCUUAUGGGAGGCUGGUCAAUGCAUGUUUGGUGCAUGUAAAUGAACUGCUCUACCAUAGCUUUUAGUAGAUAACCCCGAUUUUGGUUUAGUGGUACAUGCCAGCAAGGGAUGAUCAUACUUGUUCAA